Molecule: non-coding RNA, 296 nt
Organism: Pelobates cultripes (western spadefoot toad)
Lineage: Eukaryota; Metazoa; Chordata; Amphibia; Anura; Pelobatidae
Source: the annotation of a GenBank genome assembly
CUCCAAGUAGCAGUACAGCAGGGAUUAGCAGAAGCGUAGUCAAGGAAAGCCAAAGUCAGGGGAAUCCAGAGAUCAGAGUAGUCCAGGAGGAAAGCCAAGGUCAGAAGCCGGAAUCAGACAGGAAAUACUGGAACGCAGAUAUAGCAAGACAGGAACCAAACAAGGGAACCAGAGUCAAUGAACUGACACUGCCCUCAGGGAGAGGCAGUGUCUUAUACCUGGCUAAUUGGUGAUCAGCCACAGGUGUGCUGAGAUCGUUGGAGCAGCCACAGAAUAACGUCCAGCCCCCAGUGCUG